GACGAACGCUGGCGGCGUGCUUAACACAUGCAAGUCGAACGGAAAGGCCCUGCUUUUGUGGGGUGCUCGAGUGGCGAACGGGUGAGUAACACGUGAGUAACCUGCCCUUGACUUUGGGAUAACUUCAGGAAACUGGGGCUAAUACCGGAUAGGAGCUCCUGCUGCAUGGUGGGGGUUGGAAAGUUUCGGCGGUUGGGGAUGGACUCGCGGCUUAUCAGCUUGUUGGUGGGGUAGUGGCUUACCAAGGCUUUGACGGGUAGCCGGCCUGAGAGGGUGACCGGCCACAUUGGGACUGCGAUACGGCCCAGACUCCUACGGUAGGCAGCAGUGGGGAAUAUUGCACAAUGGGCGGAAGCCUGAUGCAGCAACGCCGCGUGCGGGAUGACGGCCUUCGGGUUGUAAACCGCUUUCGCCUGUGGCGAAGCGUGAGUGACGGUAAUGGGUAAAGAAGCACCGGCUAACUACGUG
This 468-nucleotide ribosomal RNA is filed under the name uncultured bacterium. RNAcentral's name for it is "partial 16S ribosomal RNA". It matches the Rfam family "Bacterial small subunit ribosomal RNA", at positions 28 to 507 of the family's 1533-position model. The record is from RNAcentral.